Molecule: ribosomal RNA, 223 nt
Filed under: uncultured cyanobacterium
Lineage: Bacteria; Bacillati; Cyanobacteriota
Description: partial 16S ribosomal RNA
Rfam family: Bacterial small subunit ribosomal RNA
Source: RNAcentral
UGAGUAACGCGUGAGAAUAUGCGUUCAGGGUUGACAACCACUGGAACGGUGGUUAAUACAGGAUGUGCCCGAGAUGAAAGAUUUAUCGCCUGAAGAUGAGCUCGCGUUGAUUAGCUAGUUGGUGAGGUAAAAGCUCACCAAGGCGACGAUCAGUAGCUGGGUGAGAGGAUGACCAGCCACACAGGAAAGAGACACGGUCCAGACUCCUACGGGAGGCAGCAGU